Molecule: transfer RNA, 67 nt
Filed under: Marmota monax (woodchuck)
Lineage: Eukaryota; Metazoa; Chordata; Mammalia; Rodentia; Sciuridae
Description: tRNA.Ala
Source: RNAcentral
GGUUGUGGCUCAGUGGUACAGUGCUUGCCUGGCAUGCAUAAGGCACUGGUUUCAAUCCUCAGAACCA